Molecule: long non-coding RNA, 1260 nt
Organism: Mesocricetus auratus (golden hamster)
Lineage: Eukaryota; Metazoa; Chordata; Mammalia; Rodentia; Cricetidae
Exons: 2
Source: RefSeq, a predicted model, not a curated record
AAGUCACCUAAGUCUCCUAAAGGACCGGGGGUCUCAGUCCCAGGACCCACCUGAGACUCCUGAAGGCAAUUCCGGACUCCAGGUCGAUGGGAAGUGGGGAGGAGCUCAGGACAUGGGGGGUCCGAUGGGCCUCUGGGACUCACAGAUGCUGCUGCAGGCUGAGUGGGGAAGAACAGCCCUGUGGGAGUGGCCGAGGCUGCAGGUCGCCACCUGGCAAGGACAGCAAAGCUGCCUGGAUACACCUGGGAUGGUGAGAGCUGAUCAGCCCCACCCAGCUGCCAGGGUGUGUCUGAGGUCUGUGCCGAAGUUUCGUGGGGGUGGCAGCAGGGAGGGCGAGGCCCAGGCUUCCAGGCCAACGGAGCUGGGCUGCACAGACAGAAACACAACGGCCCCGUGUUAAGCAUUGUGGGCAGGUAGCUGGAAGCCUGGAUUCAGUGCUGCCUGAGGCUAUUCAGAUCGGCAUCCACGAGGCUACCCACCUCUUCGCUACAGAGCAGUGCUCAAUGUGACAAGCUCAAUGAACCCUGGGGACCAGAGAGUCUGCUGACUUGGAGAAAUGAUGAAGCAGGUGACUGGGCCGUGGCAGGGGAUGAAGGAUGAGGACGCUCUCACAGGUCUGGGUGAGGUACCCUGCGGUCUGUGCUGUACAGACUUGGAAGAGUGCAUCAAGAGUGUCCCUGCUGCUGUAGUCAUGGGGAGGCCGGCCCUUACUGCAUCCAGGAAUGAGGGGCAUCUGUCAUGCUGUCCACUCAGUCCCCAUGUCCAUCACUGACGACAGAGCACCAGAGUCUGGUGGGAGGGCAGGAAAGCACCCGAAGUCUUACCAUUCCUGGCAUGGGGGACAGGACAAGCUGACAGGACAUCAGUCUCCCUAUGCCCCCAAAUCUAGUUCACUCUACGUCCUAUUGGAACUGUCUGCACAGGUCGCCAGCCUGAGUGUCCCUUCCAUAGUUAAACAGCCAGAACUGAGAACAGGGUGUCAGAACCUAUCUGGAGUCCUCACAACUGCCUGGGGGUGGAGAGGCAUGGCUUGCAUCACACAGAGGCCAAACACAGAAGGGAAGCUAGAGCUUGAAGAGGGCAAAGUCUCAGGCAGCCUGGGAUCCAAGAGAAAGGUGGCAGACACCACGCUCAGGGGAAAGGUGCCUGGGGCACCGAGCUCGCACUGGCCUCCACCGUGACUCCUCUGCAUUGUGAUUUCAACGCUUUUCCAACAUGCAUGCGGGCUUGUUCCUGAAUAAAGCAAGGGCUCUGCACCAA